Molecule: ribosomal RNA, 253 nt
Filed under: uncultured bacterium
Lineage: Bacteria
Description: partial 16S ribosomal RNA
Rfam family: Bacterial small subunit ribosomal RNA
Source: RNAcentral
GACAGGGGGGACAAGUGUUAGUUACCGUGACUGGGUGUAAAGGGCUCGUAGGCGGUUUGUCGCGUCGGGAGUGAAAUCCACUGGCUUAACUGGUGGCUUGCUUUCGAUACGGGCAGACUGGAGGUAUGCAGGGGAGAACGGAAUUCCUGGUGUAGCGGUGAAAUGCGCAGAUAUCAGGAGGAACACCGGUGGCGAAGGCGGCUUUCUGGACAGUAACUGACGCUGAGGAGCGAAAGCCAGGGGAGCAAACGGG